This 441-nucleotide ribosomal RNA is filed under the name uncultured bacterium. RNAcentral's name for it is "partial 16S ribosomal RNA". It matches the Rfam family "Bacterial small subunit ribosomal RNA", at positions 338 to 795 of the family's 1533-position model. The record is from RNAcentral.
CCUACGGGGUGCAGCAGUGGGGGAUAUUGCACAAUGGGGGAAACCCUGAUGCAGCGACGCCGCGUGGGUGAAGAAGUAUUUCGGUAUGUAAAGCCCUAUCAGCAGGGAAGAAAGAAGACGGUACCUGACUAAGAAGCCCCGGCUAACUACGUACCAGCAGCCGCGGUAAUACGUAGGGGGCGAGCGUUAUCCGGAUUCACUGGGUGUAAAGGGAGCGUAGACGGCCGUGCAAGCCAGGAGUGAAAGCCCGGGGCCCAACCCCGGGACUGCUCUUGGAACUGUGCGGCUGGAGUGCGGGAGGGGCAGGCGGAAUUCCUGGUGUAGCGGUGAAAUGCGUAGAUAUCAGGAGGAACACCGGCGGCGAAGGCGGCCUGCUGGACCGCGACUGACGUUGAGGCUCGAAAGCGUGGGGAGCGAACAGGAUUAGAUACCCCAGUAGUC